RNAcentral lists this unclassified non-coding RNA (520 nucleotides) under uncultured Glomus. RNAcentral describes it as "SSU rRNA". It matches the Rfam family "Eukaryotic small subunit ribosomal RNA", at positions 569 to 1090 of the family's 1831-position model. Lineage: Eukaryota; Fungi; Glomeromycota; Glomeromycetes; Glomerales; Glomeraceae. The record is from RNAcentral.
AGCAGCCGCGGUAAUUCCAGCUCCAAUAGCGUAUAUUAAAGUUGUUGCAGUUAAAAAGCUCGUAGUUGAAUUUCGGGAUCAAAGAAUCGGUCAUGCCUUGGUAUGUACUGGUUUUAUUGGUUCUCACCUUCUAAAGAACCAUGAUGUCAUUCAUUUGAUGUUAUGGGGAAUUAGGACUGUUACCUUGAAAAAAUUAGAGUGUUUAAAGCAAGCUUACGCUUGAAUACAUUAGCAUGGAAUAAUGAAAUAGGACAUCAGAUUCUAUUUUGUUGGUUUCUAGGAUCGAUGUAAUGAUUAAUAGGGAUAGUUGGGGGCAUUAGUAUUCAAUUGUCAGAGGUGAAAUUCUUGGAUUUAUUGAAGACUAACUACUGCGAAAGCAUUUGCCAAGGAUGUUUUCAUUAAUCAAGAACGAAAGUUAGGGGAUCGAAGACGAUCAGAUACCGUCGUAGUCUUAACCAUAAACUAUGCCGACUAGGGAUCGGAUGAUGUUAAUUUUUUUAAUGACUCAUUCGGCGCCUUA